This 301-nucleotide ribosomal RNA is filed under the name uncultured bacterium. RNAcentral's name for it is "partial 16S ribosomal RNA". It matches the Rfam family "Bacterial small subunit ribosomal RNA", at positions 509 to 809 of the family's 1533-position model. The record is from RNAcentral.
CAGUAGCCGCGGGAAAACGGAGGGAGCUAGCGUUGUUCGGAAUCACUGGGCGUAAAGCGCACGUUGGCGGCUAUUCAAGUCAGGGGUGAAAGCCCGGGGCUCAACCCCGGAACUGCCUUUGAAACUAGAUAGCUUGAAUCUUGGAGAGGCGAGUGGAAUUCCGAGUGUAGAGGUGAAAUUCGUAGAUAUUCGGAAGAACACCAGUGGCGAAGGCGACUCGCUGGACAAGUAUUGACGCUGAGGUGCGAAAGCGUGGGGAGCAAACAGGAUUAGAUACCCGAGUAGUCCCUGUCUCUUAUAA